RNAcentral lists this ribosomal RNA (498 nucleotides) under uncultured bacterium. Its description in RNAcentral is "partial 16S ribosomal RNA". It matches the Rfam family "Bacterial small subunit ribosomal RNA", at positions 30 to 523 of the family's 1533-position model. The record is from RNAcentral.
AUUGAACGCUGGCGGCAUGCCUUACACAUGCAAGUCGAACGGUAACAGGCCUUCGGAUGCUGACGAGUGGCGAACGGGUGAGUAAUACAUCGGAACGUGCCUAGUAGUGGGGGAUAACUACUCGAAAGAGUGGCUAAUACCGCAUGAGAUCUACGGAUGAAAGCAGGGGAUCGCAAGACCUUGUGCUACUAGAGCGGCCGAUGGCAGAUUGGGUAGUUGGUGGGAUAAAAGCUUACCAAGCCGACGAUCUGUAGCUGGUCUGAGAGGACGAUCAGCCACACUGGGACUGAGACACGGCCCAGACUCCUACGGGAGGCAGCAGUGGGGAAUUUUGGACAAUGGGCGCAAGCCUGAUCCAGCAAUGCCGCGUGCAGGAUGAAGGCCUUCGGGUUGUAAACUGCUUUUGUACGGAACGAAAAGCCCCGGGUUAAUACCCUGGGGUCAUGACGGUACCGUAAGAAUAAGCACCGGCUAACUACGUGCCAGCCGCCGCCGUAA